RNAcentral lists this ribosomal RNA (497 nucleotides) under uncultured bacterium. RNAcentral describes it as "partial 16S ribosomal RNA". It matches the Rfam family "Bacterial small subunit ribosomal RNA", at positions 28 to 507 of the family's 1533-position model. The record is from RNAcentral.
GACGAACGCUGGCGGCGUGCCUAAUACAUGCAAGUUGAGCGAUGAAGAUUGGUGCUUGCACCAAUUUGAAGAGCAGCGAACGGGUGAGUAACGCGUGGGGAAUCUGCCUUUGAGCGGGGGACAACAUUUGGAAACGAAUGCUAAUACCGCAUAAUAACUUUAAACAUAAGUUUUAAGUUUGAAAGAUGCAAUUGCAUCACUCAAAGAUGAUCCCGCGUUGUAUUAGCUAGUUGGUGAGGUAAAGGCUCACCAAGGCGAUGAUACAUAGCCGACCUGAGAGGGUGAUCGGCCACAUUGGGACUGAGACACGGCCCAAACUCCUACGGGAGGCAGCAGUAGGGAAUCUUCGGCAAUGGACGAAGGUCUGACCGAGCAACGCCGCGUGAGUGAAGAAGGUUUUCGGAUCGUAAAACUCUGUUGGUAGAGAAGAACGUUGGUGAGAGUGGAAAGCUCAUCAAGUGACGGUAACUACCCAGAAAGGGACGGCUAACUACGUG